Molecule: unclassified non-coding RNA, 520 nt
Filed under: uncultured Entrophospora
Lineage: Eukaryota; Fungi; Glomeromycota; Glomeromycetes; Entrophosporales; Entrophosporaceae
Description: SSU rRNA
Rfam family: Eukaryotic small subunit ribosomal RNA
Source: RNAcentral
AGCAGCCGCGGUAAUUCCAGCUCCAAUAGCGUAUAUUAAAGUUGCUGCAGUUAAAAAGCUCGUAGUUGAAUUUCGGGACUAAUAUGUCGGUCGUGCCUCGGUACGUACUGGUUUAUUGGUUUCUCCUUUCUGAAGAACCAUGAUGUCAUUUAUUUGGUGUCGUGGGGAAUCAGGACUGUUACUUUGAAAAAAUUAGAGUGUUUAAAGCAGGCUCACGCUUGAAUACAUUAGCAUGGAAUAAUGAAAUAGGACGUUUGAUUCUAUUUUGUUGGUUUCUAGGAUCGACGUAAUGAUUAAUAGGGAUAGUUGGGGGCAUUAGUAUUCAAUUGUCAGAGGUGAAAUUCUUGGAUUUAUUGAAGACUAACUACUGCGAAAGCAUUUGCCAAGGAUGUUUUCAUUAAUCAAGAACGAAAGUUAGGGGAUCGAAGACGAUCAGAUACCGUCGUAGUCUUAACCAUAAACUAUGCCGACUAGGGAUCGGAUGAUGUUAAUUUUAAUGACUCAUUCGGCGCCUUACGGG